This 467-nucleotide ribosomal RNA is filed under the name uncultured bacterium. RNAcentral's name for it is "partial 16S ribosomal RNA". It matches the Rfam family "Bacterial small subunit ribosomal RNA", at positions 28 to 506 of the family's 1533-position model. The record is from RNAcentral.
GACGAACGCUGGCGGCGUGCUUAACACAUGCAAGUCGAACGGAAAGGCCCUGCUUUUGUGGGGUGCUCGAGUGGCGAACGGGUGAGUAACACGUGAGUAACCUGCCCUUGACUUUGGGAUAACUUCAGGAAACUGGGGCUAAUACCGGAUAGGAGCUCCUGCUGCAUGGUGGGGGUUGGAAAGUUUCGGCGGUUGGGGAUGGACUCGCGGCUUAUCAGCUUGUUGGUGGGGUAGUGGCUUACCAAGGCUUUGACGGGUAGCCGGCCUGAGAGGGUGACCGGCAAAAUGGGGAAGGGAAUACGGCCCAGACUCCAAGGGGGGGCAGGGGGGGGGAAUAUUAAAAAAGGGGCGGAAGCCUGAGGCAACAACCCCGGGGGGGGGAUGCGGGCCUUGGGGUUGUAAACCGCUUUCCCCUGUGACGAAGGGGGGGGGACGGUAAUGGGAAAAGAAGCCGCGGCGAAAUACGU